GACGAACGCUGGCGGCGUGCCUAAUACAUGCAAGUAGAACGCACAGUUUAUACCGUAGCUUGCUACACCAUAAACGGUGAGGUGCGAACGGGGGAGGAACGCGUAGGUAACCUGCCUGGUAGCGUGGGAUAACUAUGGGAAACGAUAGCUAAUACCGCAUAAUAUUAAUUAUUGCAUGAUAAUUGAUGGAAAUAUGCAAUUGCAUCACUACCAGAUGGACCUGCGUUGUAUUAGCUAGUAGGUGAGGUAACGGCUGACCGAGGCGACGAUACAUAGCCGACAUGAGAGGGUGAUCGGCCACACUUGGACUGAGACACGGCCAAGAUUCCUACGGGAGGCAGCAGUAGGGAAUCUGCGGCAAUGGAGGAAAGUAUGACCGAGCAAGGGCGCGUGAGUGAAGAAGGUUUUCGGAUCGUAAAGCUCUGUUGUAAGAGAAGAACGGGUGUGAGGGUGGAAAGUUCUCACUGUGACGGUAUAUUAGCAGAGAGGGACGGCUAACUUCGUG
Molecule: ribosomal RNA, 505 nt
Filed under: uncultured bacterium
Lineage: Bacteria
Description: partial 16S ribosomal RNA
Rfam family: Bacterial small subunit ribosomal RNA
Source: RNAcentral